UGGGGAAUAUUGGGCAAUGGGCGCAAGCCUGACCCAGCAACGCCGCGUGAAGGAAGAAGGCUUUCGGGUUGUAAACUUCUUUUGUCAGGGACGAAUCAAUGACGGUACUUGACGAAUAAGCCACGGCUAACUACGUGCCAGCAGCCGCGGUAAUACGUAGGUGGCAAGCGUUAUCCGGAUUUACUGGGUGUAAAGGGCGUGUAGGCGGGACUGCAAGUCAGGCGUGAAAACCAGAGGCUCAACCUCUGGCCUGCGUUUGAAACUGUAGUUCUUGAGUGCUGGAGAGGCAAUCGGAAUUCCGUGUGUAGCGGUGAAAUGCGUAGAUAUACGGAGGAACACCAGUGGCGAAGGCGGAUUGCUGGACAGUAACUGACGCUGAGGCGCGAAAGCGUGGGGAGCAAACA
RNAcentral lists this ribosomal RNA (404 nucleotides) under uncultured bacterium. RNAcentral describes it as "bacterial SSU rRNA". It matches the Rfam family "Bacterial small subunit ribosomal RNA", at positions 355 to 774 of the family's 1533-position model. The record is from RNAcentral.